This is a long non-coding RNA of Zingiber officinale, 1183 nucleotides long. RefSeq lists it as uncharacterized. The record is from RefSeq and is a predicted model, not a curated record. The transcript has 4 exons. Lineage: Eukaryota; Viridiplantae; Streptophyta; Magnoliopsida; Zingiberales; Zingiberaceae.
UCGUUUCUUUCCCCGCGUGCCUGAGCCCUCAUCUCCGGUAGUUUCUUUUCUCUUCCCCAACGGACGCGCCGACGCUGCCCUCACGUCGAUUCCUCUCUUCCCCUCCGGUACAAAAGGAGGAGCCAAAGGAAGCCCUAGCCAUCUCCUCCACUACCACUUCCCCUCUUCCUCUCUUCUGUCGACGCCGACUUCAGUGCCGGGGCCAACUCCGAUCACCCCUCUACCUCUCCUCAAGCCUCGCCUUCUCUAUGCCCUAGCACCGAGCGCUGACCACCAAAUCUCUUCGGCGUGCCCUAGAUUGGGUCCAUAGUCGCCGAGCCCUAAGCCUCCGACGCCGAAGCCACAGGGGAACCGGUCGCGGUAGCCGACCCUUUUCGUCUCUGCCCUGCCCUAGAUCGCCGGCCGAUUUCUUCCUCUGCUCCAGCGCCGGCAUCUGAUUCCCUUCCAACUCUGGAUUUUCUUUGAUCUGUACCACUAGCAAAUCAGCGGUGAUAGGAGUGGAGACCAGCCCUCUCUCGACCUCUACUCAUCAAGCAACAUUAGUUUGCUCCGGCCACUGGUUUCCGACAUUGUUCGACAGCAGGUAUAUCCGACAGUGACUCAAUAGAUUGGGCAUUCAGAUUUGGGGAUGUGGGAAUUUUCCAUGGCAAUCUUGCUUCGGCUGAGGACAUCAAGGAAGAGUACAAGUGGAUUUCCAGCAGCUCACCCUUUCCAUCAGCAAGGUUUACCGGCAAGGAAUCAAUAAGGGAGCACUUGAAUUUGGAUGAGUUUUAGAGUGUUUGUGUAUAAGGCAAAACCAAAUUGGAAGGAUUCUGAUUCGGGAUGAGCACUUCGACAUAGAGGUUGAUUAGCUCAAUCUACAUUGGAGGUUGAGGCUGUUCAGGAGGUUCCAGUCGCUAGUCCCCCACCACUACGCGUCGCGACGAGUUCGCACAUUUCGGUUUUCCUAUUAUGUUAGACUAUGUUUUCAGACUUGUAGCUUUUGGCAUUUGGAUCUUAUACAUUUUGUUAUUUGUCGAUGGGUUUUCAUUUGUAUGUAUGCUGGAAUUUUGUGUUUUAUGGGUGUAGUUGAGUAGGAUAUCGGUUUUAUGUUUUAUGGGUGUAGUUGAGUAGGAUAUUGGAUUUGUGUUUUAUGGGUGUAGUUUAGUAGGAUUUUUGCGAUGAUUUCCUUAUAUUUGCUUUA